RNAcentral lists this transfer RNA (71 nucleotides) under Allobates amissibilis. RNAcentral's name for it is "tRNA-Ile". It matches the Rfam family "tRNA". Rfam says of the family: Transfer RNA (tRNA) molecules are approximately 80 nucleotides in length. Lineage: Eukaryota; Metazoa; Chordata; Amphibia; Anura; Aromobatidae. The record is from RNAcentral.
GGAAACGUGCCUGAAAGAUUAAGGACCUCCUUGAUAGGGAGAACAAUAGAGGCUCAAACCCCCUCGUUUCC